RNAcentral lists this ribosomal RNA (777 nucleotides) under uncultured Neocallimastigales. RNAcentral's name for it is "partial large subunit ribosomal RNA". It matches the Rfam family "Eukaryotic large subunit ribosomal RNA", at positions 24 to 614 of the family's 3401-position model. The record is from RNAcentral. Lineage: Eukaryota; Fungi; Neocallimastigomycota; Neocallimastigomycetes; Neocallimastigales.
UAUGUGAUCGUCUCUCGCAUAUCAAUAAGCGGAGGAAAAGAAACUAACAAGGGAUUCCCCUAGUAACGGCGAGUGAAGCGGGAAGAGCUCAAAUUUGAAAUCUUAAAGGUUUUCCCUUGACGAAUUGUAGUUUAAAGAAGUGUUUUCUGUUGAAGGUUUUGGUAAAAGUUCUUUGGAAUAGGACAUCAUAGAGGGUGAGAAUCCCGUAUUUGACCAUUUACUUUCAGCUUUGUGAUACACUUUCAAAGAGUCGGAUUGUUUGGGAAUGCAGUCCAAAAUGGGUGGUAAAUUUCAUCUAAAGCUAAAUAUUGGCGAGAGACCGAUAGCGAACAAGUACCGUGAGGGAAAGAUGAAAAGAACUUUGAAAAGAGAGUUAAACAGUACGUGAAAUUGUCAAAAGGGAAGCGUUUGACACCAGUGUUGUUUUUCUGAAAAUCAAUUAAAGGACUGUUUAUGCUAAGUUGUUUAGACUUUAUCAGCUAACUGUUUAGUUUUGAGCUUUUCUUUAAUGCACUUUUCAGUUAGCAAGUCAACAUCAAUUUCUUUUGCUGUAAAAAAGCUUGAGGAAGGUGGCUUGAGAUUCGUCUUAAGUGUUUAUAGCCUCUUGCCUAUGCAGUCGGAGAGAUUGAGGUCUGCAGCGUAGAUCCUUCGGGGCUAAAUGCAUUUGUGCUAAGUUAUAGCAUUUUAUAGACAACUUGUUGACUAUGAUUUGUCUUGUAGCUUACUCGCUUAUGUUAUUUUACCUACGCUUAGGAUGUUGAGUCAUCACACAUCUCU